GCGCGUGCGUGCGUGUGCGUGUGUGUGUGUGCUUGCCUGCAUGUGUGAGUGUUACAGUCUGUCUGUUACAAUGAGAGGUACAAUGAGAGGGUGUGUGUCCAGCACGGAUCCUGCCCAAAGCACUCAUUUCACUCCACAGACAGUGAGCAUCAUGGCCUGCCUGUCCUGAGUCCUGAACCCGGAGUGUCAUCUGGUAGAGAACUCAACUGCUGGUGUAUCCUGGAAGUGUUUUUGAGUGGAUCGAGCUGCCGCUGUCUGCUAACCUGUGAACUGAACUGCCAAUUUCCAGACAACACAGAUGGGAGUUGCUCCAAAGAACCUUUCUAAACAGACUCAGGACGUGCCGCAGCAUCAGUGGAUCCAUGCGUACUUGCGCUCUUGUGCCUGGCUUCCUUCAUUUCAAAGUGUUUCCAAGGCUCCUUCAGGCUGUGCUUUAUUCAGCUCAUACUUCAUUCCUUUUGAAGGCUGAAUAGUACUCCAUAUUUGUUCAUAUAAUCUAUUUGUUGAUGGACAUUUGAGCUGUUUCCACUUUGGGGAUAUUAUGAACAGUACUUUUGAAUAUUGGAGAAGGAGUGUGUGUGUGUGUGUGUGUGUGUGUGUGUGUGUGUGUAGUGAAAGCACCUGUUUUCAAUUUUUUUUUUUUUUACAUAUAGAAUAGAAGUAGAAUGACUGGGUCAUUCAGCAAUUCUACAUUGAGCUUCAUGGAAAACCAACAUGGCUUUUGUUUGCCUAUGUUGUGUUUCCCUGCGGUGUUAGGAGCUGACAUGGCAUCCCAGGCUGCCAUUCUCUUACUGAGCUAUGUCCUUGGGCCUCUUCUUACUUUCGAUUUUGAGGCAGUAUCUCACCAAGCUGUCAGACCUGGCCCUGAACUUUCCCUCCAUCCCCAGCUUCCUGAGCUGCUAAGACCACGGGCCUACAUUGCUGGGCCCAGCCACAAGUACAGCUUGUGAGGCACUUCACUUGCAAACAUCCACAGCCUUUUCCUCAGCACGAGAACACCAUGAUGAAGGACAGAGGGACAUGAGGAAUAAGACCUUUAAGAUCCUGGAAGCCAACCUGUUUAUGUUUUUAUGUUUUAUUUUGUUACGUUGCAGAUAGGGAAUGUGUUUGUGUUUGUGGCACAUGUUCGCGGUGGGUGCAUGUGUGUGUGGGUUUGUGUCCUGUGCUUAUAAGCAAAGCAGAGGCGUAGAAUUCCCUCCUCUGUGGGUCUCAAGGCUCUUGCUGACCCAGAAGUGUGGCUGUUAGGUUAUCUGGCCAGUGACAUCUCGGGACAACCCGUAAUGCUGGGUUUACAGACACAUGGCAGUUAGGCCCAGCUUUUUACAUGGUGUGGGUGCUGGAGAUUCAAACUCUAAUCCUCAUGCUUGCAAAGCAAGUGUUCUUAUACACCCAGCCUUCUUCCUGUCCCUGCCACGGGAGCUUUUCCUACCAUGGUACAGUCUAUCGUGACACAGCAUUCGGUACUUGUAUAAAGUGCCCUGGGAUUUACAGAGCAAACUCCUCCCCCCCAGCUCACCCUGGGAGCGAGAAGGGGCUGGGAUGAAGAAUUACCAUGAACCCAACUCCCACAGUGUUGCAGAGCAUAAGUAGGAGGGGAUUGUGGGUAAUGGGAGAUUUGCAUUUCAAUCUCCAAAUACAAAUUAAACCAAAAGUUGUCAUCAAAGAAAAGAUGAAGAUGAGGAUCAAGAUGAUUCCACAGUUCUAGAAAAGAAGAGAUUAAAAAAAGGGAAUUGAAUGCGUCUUUAAAGAUGUUUUAAAAGUGUUAAUGCAGACUAAUGCAGUUAAUGAAGGCUAGGCGGGGUAAAU
This is a long non-coding RNA of Mus musculus (house mouse), 1806 nucleotides long. RefSeq annotates it as predicted gene, 51680. The record is from RefSeq and is a predicted model, not a curated record. The transcript is spliced from 3 exons. NCBI's taxonomy places the organism in Eukaryota, Metazoa, Chordata, Mammalia, Rodentia, Muridae.